RNAcentral lists this ribosomal RNA (301 nucleotides) under uncultured bacterium. RNAcentral's name for it is "partial 16S ribosomal RNA". It matches the Rfam family "Bacterial small subunit ribosomal RNA", at positions 509 to 807 of the family's 1533-position model. The record is from RNAcentral.
CAGUCGCCGCGGUAAUACGUAGGGUGCAAGCGUUAAUCGGAAUUACUGGGCGUAAAGCGUGCGCAGGCGGUUCGCUAAGACAGAUGUGAAAUCCCCGGGCUUAACCUGGGAACUGCAUUUGUGACUGGCGGGCUAGAGUAUGGCAGAGGGGGGUAGAAUUCCACGUGUAGCAGUGAAAUGCGUAGAGAUGUGGAGGAAUACCGAUGGCGAAGGCAGCCCCCUGGGCCAAUACUGACGCUCAUGCACGAAAGCGUGGGGAGCAAACAGGAUUAGAUACCCGCGUAGUCCCUGUCUCUUAUAC